Long non-coding RNA from Trematomus bernacchii (emerald rockcod), 574 nucleotides. RefSeq lists it as uncharacterized. NCBI's taxonomy places the organism in Eukaryota, Metazoa, Chordata, Actinopteri, Perciformes, Nototheniidae. The record is from RefSeq and is a predicted model, not a curated record. The transcript is spliced from 3 exons.
UCUUGUCCUGUGAUUACCCUUCUGUGUAUUUAGUCUUGUCUUCCCCUGUGCUCCAUGUCUGUUCGUCGUCAUUUCAUGUCCCUGCUACCUGUCGUCUAUGCUUGUCCAUGUCUCCUGCCUGUUCCCGUCUCUCAACAGCAGGACUUCAUUUCAGCUCCCAUCAGUGCGCUGGUCUUUCUCAUGAGGGCCAUCUCACCAGAUAACAUCAGGCUGCCAUCCAGAUGGUGAAGGAGACGAGCAGCGUGGGUAAAACCGUGAGCAGCGUCACACAGCCCAGAUACAGCGCGACUGCUACACCACACAGUGCAGUCAGAUAGGAGCUCUUCCUGCUGCAAACAAUCUUCCGUACUGCUGUGCAGAACUACAAGAAACAGUGUGCCAAGAGACUGUACCUGGUAUGUCUGGUAGCUGAUGGACAUGCCGUAUCUGCAGUACAUGACGUAGUGUUCACAGUUGUACCACAGUAGGCUGUAGUUGACCUUGCCCAGGAGUUUCUCUGCCCUUCUCGCUACCUCGUCCCCGUCCAAAGGAGGCUGGCUGCACACCUUGUCCAUGUGGUUGACCAGGAUCUCCG